Molecule: small nucleolar RNA, 84 nt
Filed under: Amborella trichopoda
Lineage: Eukaryota; Viridiplantae; Streptophyta; Magnoliopsida; Amborellales; Amborellaceae
Description: snoRNA snoZ102_R77
Rfam family: Small nucleolar RNA Z102/R77
About the family: Z102 and R77 and are members of the C/D class of snoRNA which contain the C (UGAUGA) and D (CUGA) box motifs. Most of the members of the box C/D family function in directing site-specific 2'-O-methylation of substrate RNAs.
Source: Rfam by way of RNAcentral
GAGUGAGAUGAUGAAUAAUGAUAAUUACUGUUUUGAGUGCCUAGAUGAUGGCACAAACAUUGUAUUAGCUCUAUCUGAUCACUC